This 155-nucleotide ribosomal RNA is filed under the name Escherichia coli. RNAcentral's name for it is "partial 16S ribosomal RNA". It matches the Rfam family "Bacterial small subunit ribosomal RNA", at positions 1 to 147 of the family's 1533-position model. The record is from RNAcentral. Lineage: Bacteria; Pseudomonadati; Pseudomonadota; Gammaproteobacteria; Enterobacterales; Enterobacteriaceae. RNAcentral also lists the same sequence under 1 other name.
UUAAAUUGAAGAGUUUGAUCAUGGCUCAGAUUGAACGCUGGCGGCAGGCCUAACACAUGCAAGUCGAACGGUAACAGGAAGCAGCUUGCUGCUUUGCUGACGAGUGGCGGACGGGUGAGUAAUGUCUGGGAAACUGCCUGAUGGAGGGGGAUAAC